GCCCGGUAUUGGGGUACGCUGGGCCCGGGUAUUGGGGGUACACUGGGCCCGGGUAUUGGGGGGUUCUAGGCCUUGGUAUUGGGGGUACACUGGGCCCGGGUACUGGGGGGUACACUGGGCCCGGGUAUUGGGGGGUUCUAGGCCUUGGUAUUGGGGGUACACUGGGCCCGGGUAUUGGGGGUACACUGGGCCCGGGUAUUGGGGGGUACGCUGGGCCCGGGUAUUGGGGUACGCUGGGCCCGGGUAUUGGGGGGUUCUAGGCCUUGGUAUUGGGGGUACACUGGGCCCGGGUACUGGGGGGUACGCUGGGCCCGGGUAUUGGGGGUACGCUGGGCCCGGGUAUUGGGGGUACGCUGGGCCCGGGUAUUGGGGGUACGCUGGGCCCGCUGGGUAUUAGGUACAAGGCCCGGGUAUUGGGUACAAGGCCCGGGUAUUGGGGGUUCUAGGUCUUUGUAUUAUACACUGGGCCCGGGUACUGGGGUACGCUGGGCCUGGUAUUAGUACGCUGGGCCCGGGUAUUGGGGGUACGCUGGGCCCGGGUAUUAGUAGUACCGCUGGGCCCGGGUAUUGGGGUACGCUGGGCCCGGGUAUUGGGGGUUCUAGGCCUUGGUAUUGGGGUACGCUGGGCCCGGGUAUUGGGGGUACACUGGGCCCGGGUAUUGGGGGUACACUGGGCCCGGGUACUGGGGGGUACGCUGGGCCCGGUUCCUGUGGAGGAGGUGUCCCGGUUCGGCCCGGGUUCGGCUGUGUCCCGGUUCGGUGUCUAUCUGCCGCCCGGUGCUGUCGCUGACGGUCUGUCCCGAAGGCUCCGGCCCCGGUUGCUCCCAGCCCGGCUCAUACUCUGUCUCCCCGCUGGAGAGGCUCUCAGGCCCCGCUGGGCUCCAUACUCCAGUCCGAGGCUGCGGCCGGAUGCGGCUCCCGUGACGUCAGA
RNAcentral lists this long non-coding RNA (931 nucleotides) under Pelobates cultripes (western spadefoot toad). The record is from RNAcentral. Lineage: Eukaryota; Metazoa; Chordata; Amphibia; Anura; Pelobatidae.